UACGUAGGGACCGAGCGUUGUCCGGAAUCAUUGGGCGUAAAGAGCGUGUAGGCGGCCACUUAAGUCCUGCGUGAAAUCUUGCGGCUCAACCGCAAGCGGUCGUGGGAAACUGGGUGGCUAGAGUGCGGGAGAGGAGAGUGGAAUUCCCGGUGUAGCAGUGAAAUGCGUAGAGAGUCGGGAGGAACACCAGUGGCGAAGGCGACUACCUGGACCAGCACUGACACUGAGGCACGGAAAGCGUGGGGAGCAAACAGG
This 255-nucleotide ribosomal RNA is filed under the name uncultured bacterium. RNAcentral's name for it is "partial 16S ribosomal RNA". It matches the Rfam family "Bacterial small subunit ribosomal RNA", at positions 524 to 776 of the family's 1533-position model. The record is from RNAcentral.